Molecule: long non-coding RNA, 584 nt
Filed under: Ornithorhynchus anatinus (platypus)
Lineage: Eukaryota; Metazoa; Chordata; Mammalia; Monotremata; Ornithorhynchidae
Description: lncRNA (ENSOANG00000047545.1)
Source: RNAcentral
AGUCUCUCGCCAUGCAGUCCUGUGCUCUCCUCUGCUUCUCAUCCAGGGAUGUUUGCUCCUGUUCACAGAGAGAAGCAGAAGGGGCAUGGAAGAGGGAGAAGGGAAGAUUUAAUCAAGAGUUUCCAAGAUCUGGACCUCUCUCCACCCUCAACUCCCACCGCCAGCCAAAACUGAGCAGUGCCCGAUUCACAAGACAGCUAUCAAAGAGGAGGUUGAAAUGAAAAGCCAGUGAAGAACAGAAUUUUGAAAAAUUACCCAGAUAUUCUAUCAUAUUUUUCUCAAGAAGAUUAGGGACCUGCAACAAUGGAAAACGUAAAAGAAAAACAAGAAACUCUGUGUCAGUUUUUGACUGGAUUGGAUAUUUUAAUUGUUAAUUUAAUAUAAUUAAUUUAAUAUUUAAUUUUAUUGGCUGUAUGUGAUAGUUUGACUCAAGGUUCUCUUCAGACUAUGCUGUCUUUAUUAUACAAUAGAUGAUGGUGGUUCAAAAUAUGCAAACUUUCCAUUUCACAUGCAACACUAAUGAAAAUAUUUUCUCUUUGAAUUUACUUGAAAAUAUAGCCCUCUUGUGGACACAGAAAGCUCAG